CCUACGGGGGGCUGCAGUAGGGAAUAUUCCGCAAUGGGCGAAAGCCUGACGGAGCAACGCCGCGUGAGUGAAGAAGGUUUUCGGAUCGUAAAGCUCUGUCAACAGGGACGAAACAAGACGGUACCUGAGAAGGAAGCCACGGCAAACUACGUGCCAGCAGCCGCGGUAAUACGUAGGUGGCAAGCGUUGUCCGGAAUAACUGGGCGUAAAGCGCAUGUAGACGGCAUGAUAAGCCAAAUGUGAAAUGUAGGGGCUCAACCCCUGCACUGCGAUUGGAACUGUCAAGCUUGAGUGCAGGAGAGGCAAAUGGAAUUCCCAGUGUAGCAGUGAAAUGCGUAGAGAUUGGGAGGAACACCAGUGGCGAAGGCGAUUUGCUGGACUGCAACUGACGUUGAGAUGCGAAAGCCAGGGGAGCAAACGGGAUUAGAUACCCCUGUAGUC
RNAcentral lists this ribosomal RNA (441 nucleotides) under uncultured Veillonellaceae bacterium. Its description in RNAcentral is "bacterial SSU rRNA". It matches the Rfam family "Bacterial small subunit ribosomal RNA", at positions 338 to 795 of the family's 1533-position model. The record is from RNAcentral. Lineage: Bacteria; Bacillati; Bacillota; Negativicutes; Veillonellales; Veillonellaceae.